GCUACGCCUGUCUGAGCGUCGCUUUGCAAUCAAUCGGAGACCUCCGCGUCUCCGCGGCUGGGGCAGUCGCAGGCGGCCUUCGGGCACUGCCUUCGUCCCCCCAAGCGCAGACCGCCCGGGGUGCCCGGUGCGGCGUGUGGUGCCUGCCUGGGAACCGCACCCUCCUGCCCGUGAGCUCUCACGCUCCCGGCAUAACUCCAUCCCCGACCCCGGUCGGGGAGGGGCACCUCCCCGUCGAGCCCGCACGAGCGGGCGCGGCUGCCGGUGGACGUUCACCCGUCUCCGCGCUGACCGCGUCACUCGUGCACUCAAGGGCCCGACGGACGGGGACCGCUCCAGCGGGUGGCUCGGGGGGUUGCCACGGGUCGAGAGGGCUGCCGGCCUCUCCGGAGCUCGCCGCCACUCGCCGCGUCCUGGGGAAAAACCACACCGCGGCGCACGUGAGCCUCCCCCGGGAGCCACAAAUGC
Molecule: ribosomal RNA, 468 nt
Filed under: Hypophthalmichthys molitrix (silver carp)
Lineage: Eukaryota; Metazoa; Chordata; Actinopteri; Cypriniformes; Xenocyprididae
Description: bacterial LSU rRNA
Source: RNAcentral